CAGCCCUUGACAUCCCGGUCGCGGGAACGAGAGAUCGAUCCCUUCAGUUCGGCUGGACCGGAGACAGGUGCUGCAUGGCUGUCGUCAGCUCGUGUCGUGAGAUGUUGGGUUAAGUCCCGCAACGAGCGCAACCCUUGUCCUUAGUUGCCAGCAUUCAGUUGGGCACUCUAAGGAGACCGCCGGUGACAAACCGGAGGAAGGUGGGGAUGACGUCAAGUCAUCAUGGCCUUUAUGGCCAGGGCUACACACGUGCUACAAUGGUAGGUACAGAGGGAAGCCAACUCGCGAGAGGGAGCCAAUCCCAGAAAGCCUGUCGUAGUCCAGAUCGGAGUCUGCAACUCGACUCCGUGAAGUCGGAAUCGCUAGUAAUCGCAGAUCAGCAUUGCUGCGGUGAAUACGUUCCC
Molecule: ribosomal RNA, 404 nt
Filed under: uncultured Pseudomonadota bacterium
Lineage: Bacteria; Pseudomonadati; Pseudomonadota
Description: bacterial SSU rRNA
Rfam family: Bacterial small subunit ribosomal RNA
Source: RNAcentral